GAGAAUAAAACCACCAUAGCUGCCUAUGUUUCUUGUUUAGAUUAUAAUACUACCAGCUCUUUUAUCCUUUUCUCUGUCAAUCGUGUUUUAAACAUUGCUGCAGCUAUAAGCCACACCUUUGAUUUCACUGAGGGAAACUAUGCUACACUUUGGCAGGACAAGUUCUUGCAUGAUGUGCACAAACAUUGCAGAAGUCCAGAGUACUUUUUAUGUCGACUCUGAUAUCUUUCCAUGAAAAAAACCUGUACGGCAGCAGUGCAUGAGUAUUCAUGAAAAUGUUUAAGGAAUUUGGUGAACAAAUGUCAGAUUAUGGCAUUAGCAGCUUGCUGAGUAGGUUUGUUAGUGUUUUUCCAUUUGUAUGAAUUCAGCCAAAUGCGGCAUGCAGAGGGAGUAGGAAGACCUCUACUAGGUGCAAACUCAGAGUAUUCCUCUUUUGCGAACUUGCAAGCCAUUCACAGCAUUGACACUGGUUACCGCGGUAACCCUCUGAUUCCCGGAGUUCCCUGGCUCACGAGAGGACUUCAUACAGCCUGCACCCAGCAGAGGUGCAGAGUGAAACACUGGAUCUGAAUAUUCCAUCCCCUGAACUAUGUAGGCAAGGUUGGGAGAGCAUAAAAUGUAAUAUUAAUUAAUAUCCAUAAUUUGCUCUCUCACCCUUAAGGGACCACUAUAGACACCCAGACCACUUCAGCUUAAUGAAGUGGUCUGGGUGCCAGGUCCAUCUAGGUUUAUCCCUGCCUGCUAUGUUUACUAAUGGGUUAAUCCAGCCUCUAGUGGCUGUCUCAUUGACAGCCGUUAGAGGCGCUUCCGCGCUUCUCACUGUGAUUUUCCUAUGAGACCUGCUGAAUGUGCGAUGACGGCAGAAGAAGGAGGAGAUUUCCCAGCGCCGAGGGAGCCCGGCGCUGGAAAAAGGUAGGAAUUUAACCCACUUCCUCACCCUAGAGCCUGGCGGGAGUGGGACCCAGAGGGUGAGGGGGACCCAAGGACCCUAUAGAGCCAGGAAAACGAGUAUGUUUUCCUGGCACUAUAGUGGUCCUUUAAACCAUCUCACCCCCCACACAUUACAUGCCAAUACACACUUCAUUCCUUAUACACACUACAUACCCUAUACCCCUAAACUCUCUACAGCUACACACACCCUACAGCCCCUAUACACACACAUUGCAUUCCCCUUAUAAACAUGACAUUCCCUAUACAUACAUACAUACAUACACUACAUCCUCUAAAAAGACACAUACCUUCUCAUCCCCCUAUGAGCCCACACACACAGUACUUCUCAUAUACACUCACACACACUUUACAGCCUCAAGACACACAUGUAAACACACAUACACUACAUAUCCUAGAGCCCCCACAUGCAAACACUACAGCCCCAUACAAUCACACACACACACUCUCUACAGUCCCUAGACAUCUAUGGACACACUAUAUCCCCUAAAAACACAGUGCAUCAUCUAGACAUAUACUCUGAGCUCACACACACUACAUCCUGUACAUGCACACACAUCAUCCUCAUACAAAAUAGAAUACUGGCCUCCUACCUGCCUUCUGUUCCUUGACACUUUUAUUAUGUGUGUCCCAGCACAAACCCAUAGGCUUGCAGUGGAUGAGGGGUAAGGAGAGGGGUAAGAGGGAAGUUAAGAGAAAAAAAGGGGUAUAGGGGUAUGAGGCACACAAUGGGUACCAUUUAUAAGGGAAAAACAGUGUCCUCCGCAUUCCCUAUCUCUAUGCUCAUUUAAAAUUUUGUAAGUUAUGGCAAAUGGGGGGGGGGGAGAUUCCAUGGAGUCAAUACAGAUGCGUAUGAUGAAUAGUUACUGAGGACAAUUUGUGUUAUUCACCUAUUAUAGAAAAAAAAAGAAACUGUACAAGAGAUCAUAUAGAAAUUAUGACAUUUUUAAAAAGGAAGUUAAUUACUUGAGUUUUUAUUUUUCAAAACACAUUUUUCUUUUGAUGUGUUUCCAUCCUGACUUUCCAAUGUUUCCAUUUUAUCAUUUUUUUUCCAUUUAAUACAGAUUCACAUGAAGAAUUAUGUCCCCAAGUAACUGAAAUAGAAAUGCAAACUGCCCAACGUUAACAUCAAAAUGUAAUAAAUGGAACUAUUUUUUUUUCUUUUUCUAAGUAAUACAACAAAACCAAGAACAAUAAUAAUAUCAAAGUAUUUAACCAGGCAGAUGUGAAGUACAUUUGUAACUUAUUGCAAUUCUAAUACCCUAUACAUCCUGGAUUAAAAAUACAAAGGCUGAUUUGUAUAAAACUAGCAAAAAUAAACCAUUCCUUGGGGCACAUGUGAAAGCUUUGAAAAAUGUCUAUAAUAGCUGCAGGAACUGCUGGGCGAGUGGAAGAUUAUGCAGGCUGGUAGAAUCCUGUUUUAGCUCUCCAGCCCUUGUAAGUCAAAAUAUUAUUUCUAUAGCACCAGCAUCUACUGCAGCGCUGUACAAUGGGGAUAUAUACAAAUCAACAAACACGUUUAAGGGAAUAGCAUGGUUUGUUGAGGAAGGCCCUGUUCCAAUGAGCUUCCAAUCUAAACUAAACACAAAUUGUGUAUUUUUAUAGAUAUGUAUAGACUUAAUGGCUUUUCCGUUAUCACUGAAAUGCUAGUUAUUGCUUCUGUCGUACAAGAGUUAUGGCAUGUUACAAAACAGUCUUGUUCAUGACUUGCUGCCCUACCUACACCAUUCUCUGAAUACUCCAAUAUACGCUAGCUCCAUUAAAUUACUGAUGGCUCCUUUACUUCCCAGUGUUAUAUGGGUAAAUGUAUCCAAGAUCACAGUACAUAUUGUCUCUGGGUUAUUCCGUCUAAGCAGUCAGGAAUGUAAAGUAUUUCAAAGUUUAGACCAAAGUAGUUGAAUUAAAUACACUAGCUGAGUUGGAGAUUUCAAACUUCGACUAGUUUGGCUUAAAAUCUGAAUCUCACUUUUGAUUUUCCAACUUUUCACUACCAGUAUAGCUCCUAAAUAUUGUAGCAAACUGGCUGUUGUGGAAAUCUACUUAUAAAUAUUUCGAUUUUUACCGUGUAUAUAAAGUGAACAAUGGCACUUAGAACAAUUACAGCUUUAAUAACCUAUUUUGAUUUGGAAAUUGUAUCCACAAAAUGCCUCAAAGCACUCUAAGACAUGAAUUUAACUGUAUCAGAAGUUAAUUUAUAGAUUGCAUUAUUACCUGACCUAAAGUUAUUAAAGGGACAAUCCAGCCCCUGAAAGCACUUCUGCUUGCUGAAGUAUUUCAUGUGUGACGAAUGUGUCCUCUUCUUUUCAUUUUAUGAAAAGUACAGAUUUCAAUAUAAAUUUGCACUUUUAUAAAUUAAGUUUGUUACACCCCCCUUGGCUGUCAAUCAAAAAGGUCCAUUGCUCAGAGCACCUGCCUUGAGCUGCAUUGGGAAGUCUGUGAUUGGACAACCACAGAAAGUCUGUGUUGGGUAAGAAGGGGAGAGCUUGCAAAGGCAGGGAACAAGAGAACUACAGCUUUUUCAAGCUAUUUUUAGAUAUACCCCGAAGUGAAAAAUGCACAAUUAAAUGCAUGCAUGUUUUCAUUUAAAGUAUAUCUACUAAACAGUGAUUUAAAAAAAAAAAAUGUAUUUGGGCAGUGGAAUGUCCCUUAAAAAGCAGGUAUCUAUACAUGAUGUUAGUAAGCUCACCAACAAACACAUAGUUUAAUAGAUACUUCCGUAAACUUUAUAUUUAAUAAUAAUUGUGAGGGGUCAGCUACACCCGCUGAUGUGCAAGGUAUUCCACAAUGCAUAGUGUGCAAAUGAUUUUGGGGUGGCGCCAAAACAUCUAUCGGCAAAAGGCUAUGGUUUCUUUUUUCCUGUGUCAAAAAGGUUCAUUACUAGAACUAUAUUAAUAGGUAUACUAGCUAAAUAACUUUAUUUUUAUACACCUCUAAGUGCAAGGUAUAAAUGAAUUUAGCAGCACUACAAAUGGGACUGUUGGGAAAUGUUCUUUAAACUGUAUUUUAACAAACCCAGGAAACAAAAUGUACGUUUUAACAGGUAUCGUUUCUGUUACUUUAACAACUUAACUGUUGCAGUGCUUCAUCAUCAUCAUUCAUUGUGAAGUUUACUAUUAAGUAAAUAAAGGCAUGUGUCUUAAUGGGCUUAUACUAGACAGAAUUCAUUUUAAUUAUUCCAUUAGCUUCUAACAUGUCUCCCAACCACCUCGAUUUUGGCAGGACAAUCCCGAGUUUUGUGUCUUCUCACUGCUUUUGAAGUGCUCCCUGCAAAUCCUGCCCUCAGUCGGCUGGCCUGUUUGAUUGGCAGACAACCUGGCAUGCUAACCUGUUCCGCCCACUUUCAGGAUGUCUGCCCCCUUUUGAGCACAGCCAGUGAUGGUAUCGUGUCACUCGCUGCCUCUCUACUCCCUCCCACCAAUAUGGGGGGUAUGUUCUAACACUGUAUUUCAUGGUAGUAUGGAUCCCUAACUAUAAUAACAAUUCCUGCCGGAUAAGUGCGUGCUAACCAUUCGUUUUAAUAUUAACGCUUACCUAAACAUAUCUAAUGAUAGCUGUCAUUUGCUUUAGCCAUGCUGCCAAGAAGCUAACAUGUUCUUCGCAGCUGUAUGUAUAUAUGUGCAAAAAAUUGAUACUGUUACGGAACGUGUAAAAUUGGACCUGGAGGUUUAUGCCCUAAUUUUCAGCUGAAGACCUAUUAAAGGAACACUAUAGCGUUAGGAAUACAAAUAUGCAUUCCUAAUGCUAUAGAGCCCUAGUCACUGUUUAGGUUAAUUAACCAUUUAUUUGCUUACCUUAACCCCUUAAGGACACAUGACAUGUGUGACAUGUCAUGAUUCCCUUUUAUUCCAGAAGUUUGGUCCUUAAGGGGUUAAUCCAGCGCCAGGCUAGCUCGGCACUGGUGACCUCUCCUCCCCCAUAACCGUCAGUUCCUGAGCGCGCGCGCAUUCAAACUGGCCCAUAGGAAAGCAUUACUCAAUGCUUUCCUAUGGGGAUCUUUUUGUCCUCACGGACCUCCAGCGUCAAAUAAGUUCGAUUUACUCAGUGUAAAUUGCGGAAGCGCCUAUAGUGGCUGUCAGGGAAACAGCCUUUAGAGGCUGGAUUAACCCUGCAGUGUAAACAUAGUAGGUCUCUGAAACUGCUAUGUUUUCAGCUGCAGGGUUAAAACUAGGGGGACUUGGCACCAAGAGCACUUCAUUGAGCUAAAGUGAUCUGGGUGCCUAUAGUGGUCCUUUAAAGAGGUCUCUGCAGUUAUUAGCAAUGCAAGAUGAACACUGCUAUCCACAAGCUCACACACAACAUCUAAUACCAGUUAUGUGCAUUGCUAAUGUAAAUGUACUAAAGCAUUGUGAGUUAUAAAGUGCAGUAAGUAUCUGCACACACCUAAAGGAGCAGAUCAGUGAUGCAGAAUCCAAGGUUCUCUGAGAUCAGAUCAGUGAUGCAGAAUCCAAGGUUCUCUGAGAUCAGAAAAAGGCUUAGCAAUUACACCAACUAUUUUACAUAGCUACAUGGUGCAAGAGAGAGUACUUGAAAAGAAAGUACCUAUAACAGUUUAAUUAUUGCUACUACAGGACAACUAAGGUAGCCACUAAGAUAAUAAAAAACAUCUACUAACACAAUAUUAUGGUGGAGAUUAUAAUGUCAGGAUUCUUUAAAAAAAAAAAAAAAAACAGUUUCAGAAAACAUUUAUUUUCUAAUUUUGUGGUUUAUGAUCCAGCUAUAGUUACACAUUUGCUUGUAUCUUGUGCUUAGUAAAUAAUGUUUUUUUAAAACAAACUUUGGAAUUCUGAACCAGUCUAGCAUUUUAAGAACACACUUUUUCCAGCUAGUGCAGAUAUUGUCAAGAUAGUUUUGGGUGAAAAUUACCUCCCUCCUCAUUUUGAGGACAAGAAAUGAGUUAUAAAAAUAUAUUCGAAAAAGAAAAGGACAUUUUAUCAUUAUUAU
Molecule: long non-coding RNA, 5889 nt
Filed under: Pelobates cultripes (western spadefoot toad)
Lineage: Eukaryota; Metazoa; Chordata; Amphibia; Anura; Pelobatidae
Source: RNAcentral